RNAcentral lists this ribosomal RNA (497 nucleotides) under uncultured bacterium. RNAcentral describes it as "partial 16S ribosomal RNA". It matches the Rfam family "Bacterial small subunit ribosomal RNA", at positions 28 to 507 of the family's 1533-position model. The record is from RNAcentral.
GAUGAACGCUGGCGGCGUGCCUAAUACAUGCAAGUCGAGCGAACGGACGAGAAGCUUGCUUUUCUGAUGUUAGCGGCGGACGGGUGGGUAACACGUGGAUAACCUACCUAUAAGACUGGGAUAACUUCGGGAAACCGGAGCUAAUACCGGAUAAUAUUUUGAACCGCAUGGUUCAUAAGUGAAAGACGGUCUUGCUGUCACUUAUAGAUGGAUCCGCGCUGCAUUAGCUAGUUGGUAAGGUAACGGCUUACCAAGGCAACGAUGCAUAGCCGACCUGAGAGGGUGAUCGGCCACACUGGAACUGAGACACGGUCCAGACUCCUACGGGAGGCAGCAGUAGGGAAUCUUCCGCAAUGGGCGAAAGCCUGACGGAGCAACGCCGCGUGAGUGAUGAAGGUCUUCGGAUCGUAAAACUCUGUUAUUAGGGAAGAACAUAUGUGUAAGUAACUGUGCACAUCUUGACGGUACCUAAUCAGAAAGCCACGGCUAACUACGUG